AUUGAACGCUGGCGGCAUGCUUUACACAUGCAAGUCGAACGGUAACAGGCCGCAAUGUGCUGACGAGUGGCGAACGGGUGAGUAAUGCAUCGGAACGUGCCCAGUCGUGGUGGAUAACUACUCGAAAGAGUAGCUAAUACCGCAUACGAUCUAUGGAUGAAAGCGGGGGACCUUAAGACCUCGCGCGAUUUUAGCUGCCGAUGUCAGAUUAGGUAGUUGGUGGGGUAAAGGCUCACCAAGCCAACGAUCUGUAGCUGGUCUGAGAGGACGACCAGCCACACUGGGACUGAGACACGGCCCAGACUCCUACGGGAGGCAGCAGUGGGGAAUUUUGGACAAUGGGCGAAAGCCUGAUCCAGCAAUGCCGCGUGCAGGAAGAAGGCCUUCGGGUUGUAAACUGCUUUUGUACGGAACGAAACGGCUCUGGUUAAUACCCGGGGCUAAUGACGGUACCGUAAGAAUAAGCACCGGCUAACUACGUG
RNAcentral lists this ribosomal RNA (482 nucleotides) under uncultured bacterium. RNAcentral's name for it is "partial 16S ribosomal RNA". It matches the Rfam family "Bacterial small subunit ribosomal RNA", at positions 30 to 507 of the family's 1533-position model. The record is from RNAcentral.